RNAcentral lists this unclassified non-coding RNA (1885 nucleotides) under Sipha flava (yellow sugarcane aphid). RNAcentral describes it as "zinc finger C2HC domain-containing protein 1A-like, transcript variant X1". Lineage: Eukaryota; Metazoa; Arthropoda; Insecta; Hemiptera; Aphididae. The record is from RNAcentral.
GUCGCGCUCACUACGGCGUGCCCACGUACCUGGCCGUCCUUCGCGAGAUCCACUUACCAAAAAUGGACCACACGGCCGACUUUGACGAAGACAAUCUAAAUAUUGUUGUGGGAUGAAAAAAAUCCGAGGUCGAUUACGGGCAGUGUCCACGCUGUCCCCUGCUCAUCUAUUCUGUUUGUACUCAACGACACGACUCCCGAAAGAAAAUGAAUUUAUUGAAUUGUUACCAUGUAUAAUAUGUAAGCGCUCAUUCCGCCCAACCUUAUUACAACGUCACUCAGCUAUAUGUGAAAAAAACGCAAAAAAGCGCAAAGUACCAUUUGAUUCAUCUAAACAACGUAGACAAGGCACUGAUAUGGCUGCAUACUUGCCAAGUAUUAAAAAUACGCCUGAUGUAAAUACUGCUAUACAUAAGACUAAGAAUAACUGGAAAGCUAAACACGAAGAACUUGUUAGAGCUGUGAAAGCUGCAAGAGGUGAAAAAGUUGAUAAACUUAUUCCAACCAAGCCUGUUGAUACUGAAGCAUGUCCACAUUGUUCUCGUAAUUUCGGACCAAAAUCAUAUGAUAGGCAUGUUGAGUUUUGUAAAGAAAAAGCUCAAAGGAUAUCUACUGCACCAGUGAUAAGCCAAAUAGCUAAAGAACGACUUGAAGCUAGAACUAAAUACCGUGCACCUCCACUCAAAUCACAGCGUACUGUUACUAAAGAAAAAUAUUCUCCGAAAACUAAAUGUUCUUCACAAGAUGUUUCAAGUGUUCCAAUAAAAGUAAUACAACCAUUGAAAGUUGUUAAAAAAAUAUCCCCUCCUACAAAUAGUAAUGUUUCUAUUAUUCCUCGCCAAUCUUCAUUAUUGAAAAAGAAAGACCCAGUAUCAAAAUAUUCUUUUGGGAAUAAAAAUACAAUUUAUCAACCCAAAACAACAUCUGGUAUAAAAAAAGAAACAAUUAUGAAGAAAUCUGAAUCAGCCCAUAUCAUCAGUUCUCAAAAUCGAGUAAAAGAAGAAACUAUUAAUACUAUCAAUCGUUUUGAUAAAAAAAAUUUAUCAAAGUCCCAACCACAUUUAGAUGCAUAUGACCCAUUCAAAUCAGCUGAAAAACAAAUGAAAGAACUUGAACUAGAAAUAAUUGACAUUGGUCUUAAAAACCCAUUGAAUUUCUCACAAACAGAAAAUACGGAAAACGUACAAAUUUCUCCAACAUCUGCUUUUGUCAAGUAUUCACCAAACUCUCCUGUAGUUGUGUCUCCGGAUAAUGUUGAUCACCCAAUUUCUAAUGAAUUUAAUUUAGAUUCUAAUCUCAAUAGCCAUCCACUACAUAAUUUAAGCAAUUUAAGCUUAUGUUCCAUAGUCAGUAUUGAAUCGGCUGACUUCAAUAAUAAAACUCACAGUGCUGUAGUGCAAGGUACAGAACUUUCAAUUAGUCCAACUAAAAGAACUAUUUCUCAUAACCCUAGGAAACAUAUAGCUAUUGAAAACAUGCUAUACGGUGAUUCUGAGAAAAAUAAAUCAAACAUCAAAUUUCACUUGGCUGAACAAGAACUUUUGAAAUCAGUAUCGGAAUUUGAAAACUUGUUGAAACUAACUGAUGAUGAUGAUAUUGUAUCACCAUCAUUGAAUAGAACAUCUGCAUUAAGUAUGAUCAAUGGGGUUAAUUCCAAUAGCAGUUCUGAUUCAGCUUACGGAAGGUAAGGCGAGCGAUCCAUGGCGCUUCAAUUGUCACGGGGCACUUGCACGGUUUGAUCAGGUUUCAUGUGGAAUCUGACACUUUCUGAUUUUAAACAAAAUCAGCCUAACACGGCUUGAACAGAAAAUCGGAACAAAUGUCAACUGAAAGUUAUUCAACACUUAUGAAAAAUGCUAAAUUUUGUCAUGAGUGUGGAUUUAAAU